ACUCUAGUAUUGACCCCAAUCCACAUGUGUUGAGGUGGUUUGGGGUGUAAAUUAGUUUAAGUUAUAGUUCAAUCCACCUCAAUACAUGUGGAUUGAGGUCGAUACUAGA
Molecule: microRNA precursor, 109 nt
Filed under: Zea mays
Lineage: Eukaryota; Viridiplantae; Streptophyta; Magnoliopsida; Poales; Poaceae
Description: MIR5565 microRNA precursor family
Rfam family: MIR5565 microRNA precursor family
Source: Rfam by way of RNAcentral